This 107-nucleotide small nuclear RNA is filed under the name Octodon degus (degu). Lineage: Eukaryota; Metazoa; Chordata; Mammalia; Rodentia; Octodontidae. The record is from RNAcentral.
GUGCUCGCUUUGGCAGCACAUAAACUAAAAUUGAAACGAUACAGAGAAGAUCAGCAUGGCCCAUGCACAAGGAUGACAUGCAAAUUCAUGAAGCAUUCCAAAUUUUU